ACCGAUAGUGAACCAGUACCGUGAGGGAAAGGCGAAAAGAACCCCGGCGAGGGGAGUGAAAAAGAACCUGAAACCGUGUACGUACAAGCAGUAGGAGCCCCAUCACUCAAGUGCCUCGCACUGAGUGAUGCAAGAACAUCACCGAAAAUAGCGCCGAAUUUGCUAACAAGGUUGGUCGAUUUUUUCAAGCCGUCGCGCAGUGUACCUAGAAGUACACGAGCAACGGAAGUUAAAAAAUCGGGCAAGAUUGAACGCAAAGGCAAGCGGGACAUUUGAGGAUGGGGUGACUGCGUACCUUUUGUAUAAUGGGUCAGCGACUUAUAUUCUGUAGCAAGGUUAACCGUAUAGGGGAGCCGUAGGGAAACCGAGUCUUAACUGGGCGAAUGAGUUGCAGGGUAUAGACCCGAAACCCGGUGAUCUAUCCAUGGGCAGGUUGAAGGUUGGGUAACACUAACUGGAGGACCGAACCGACUAAUGUUGAAAAAUUAGCGGAUGACUUGUGGAUGGGGGUGAAAGGCCAAUCAAACCGGGAGAUAGCUGGUUCUCCCCGAAAGCUAUUUAGGUAGCGCCUCGUGAACUCAUCUUCGGGGGUAGAGCACUGUUUCGACUAGGGGGUCAUCCCGACUUACCAACUCGAUGCAAACUGCGAAUACCGAAGAAUGUUAUCACGGGAGACACACGGCGGGUGCUAACGUCCGUCGUGAAGAGGGAAACAACCCAGACCGCCAGCUAAGGUCCCAAAGUCAUGGUUAAGUGGGAAACGAAGUGGGAAGGCUCAGACAGCCAGGAUGUUGGCUUAGAAGCAGCCAUCAUUUAAAGAAAGCGUAAUAGCUCACUGGUCGAGUCGGCCCGCGCGGAAGAUGUAACGGGGCUAAACCAUGCACCGAAGCUGCGGCAGCGA
RNAcentral lists this ribosomal RNA (901 nucleotides) under Proteus mirabilis. Its description in RNAcentral is "partial 23S ribosomal RNA". It matches the Rfam family "Bacterial large subunit ribosomal RNA", at positions 483 to 1211 of the family's 2925-position model. The record is from RNAcentral. Lineage: Bacteria; Pseudomonadati; Pseudomonadota; Gammaproteobacteria; Enterobacterales; Morganellaceae.